UGGGGAAUAUUGCACAAUGGGCGCAAGCCUGAUGCAGCCAUGCCGCGUGUGUGAAGAAGGCCUUCGGGUUGUAAAGCACUUUCAGCGAGGAGGAAGGGUAGUGUGUUAAUAGCACAUUGCAUUGACGUUACUCGCAGAAGAAGCACCGGCUAACUCCGUGCCAGCAGCCGCGGUAAUACGGAGGGUGCAAGCGUUAAUCGGAAUUACUGGGCGUAAAGCGCAUGCAGGCGGUUUGUUAAGUCAGAUGUGAAAUCCCCGCGCUUAACGUGGGAACUGCAUUUGAAACUGGCAAGCUAGAGUCUUGUAGAGGGGGGUAGAAUUCCAGGUGUAGCGGUGAAAUGCGUAGAGAUCUGGAGGAAUACCGGUGGCGAAGGCGGCCCCCUGGACAAAGACUGACGCUCAGGUGCGAAAGCGUGGGGAGCAAACA
Molecule: ribosomal RNA, 427 nt
Filed under: uncultured bacterium
Lineage: Bacteria
Description: partial 16S ribosomal RNA
Rfam family: Bacterial small subunit ribosomal RNA
Source: RNAcentral